Molecule: ribosomal RNA, 253 nt
Filed under: uncultured bacterium
Lineage: Bacteria
Description: partial 16S ribosomal RNA
Rfam family: Bacterial small subunit ribosomal RNA
Source: RNAcentral
UACGUAGGGUGCAAGCGUUGUCCGGAAUUAUUGGGCGUAAAGAGCGUGUAGGCGGCCCGAUUAGUCCGCUGUGAAAGUUCAGGGCUCAACCCUGGAAUGCCGGUGGAUACUGUCGGGCUAGAGUCCGGAAGGGGCGAGUGGAAUUCCUGGUGUAGCGGUGAAAUGCGCAGAUAUCAGGAGGAACACCAAUGGCGAAGGCAGCUCGCUGGGACGUGACUGACGCUGAGACGCGAAAGCGUGGGGAGCAAACAGG